This is an RNA transcript of Haliotis rubra (blacklip abalone), 9579 nucleotides long. It is a transcript of the gene named TPR and ankyrin repeat-containing protein 1-like, with no coding region annotated. The record is from RefSeq and is a predicted model, not a curated record. The transcript is spliced from 10 exons. NCBI's taxonomy places the organism in Eukaryota, Metazoa, Mollusca, Gastropoda, Lepetellida, Haliotidae.
UGAGUCUGAUGCUUCUAAUAUCACUGUAGUAUCAAGAAAGCCAGAUUCACCCACCACAUGUGUGAAAGUAGAGAAAUGGCUACAAACCUGUGAUAAAAGUCAGCCAAAGUCUCUGAGAGUAGAUACAGAUGAUGUCACUUCUAAGACAGACAAGAAUACAGAACAAUAUACCAAGGACAUGACAGUGCCAUGUGAAGUUAAUCAUUCUAAAGAUGUUCCAGCAGAUUUGAAGAUGGAUAGUUUGCAGAAUGGACAACCUACUCUAAGCACCACUGAGGAAGAGAACUACGCCUUAGAAAAGGUUACAACUGUUGCUGUUGAUGACGUCAAGCAAAAGGAUAAAGCUAUUUGUACACUAAAUGAUAGCCAUUCUUCUGAUCCUGUUCCUGAUGCUGAUAGAUCACGUAGUACUACUGAUCAUUCCAACAAGAAUAAGGAACAAACUAUGAAGCAGGCUGUUCAUAUAGAUAUCCCAGAUCAUUCAGAUGACAUUGCUUAUAGAGAAAUCUGUAAUGGAAAGAAACAUGUUGUGAGCUCAGUUGAUGUAACAGCAUGUGACAAACCCACAAGCAAAGACACUGUAAAAAACGAAAGCAAACCAGAUGUAUUUUCCAGUGAGGUACGUGAAACUGUUCCCAAGGAAAGCAAUGCAAUUGCCAAUUUUGAAGUAACAAUUCCUGAAAACACAGGUGUUGCAGCCCAUGAGCCAGCCAAUGAAAACAAACGAAAGACUCGGAAAAAGAAGAAAAAGAAGGAAAAGAAGAAGUCAGUGGCCAUUGACGAGCAAACAUCUGAAGCUACACUAGAAAAUGAUGGUCAUGGAAUAAAUAUAAACGAGAAUGUUGACAAAGAAAAAUCAGUUAUUUCUGAUACACCUCAAGAGGAAAAGAUGAAAAUGGUGAAAUAUGUGGCAGAAAGACCAGUCUUGACAGUUUCAGAAUGCAAAUCAGAUAUUUUGGAAAUGAUCCAAAAUUCCAGCUAUUCCAUUUUGGAGAGCAUCAGUGGAGCUACAGGCUAUGGACUGGCUGAAAAUGCAGAUUCUAGAAAGGAGAAGGCUGAAACUGCAGGAGAGAGGAGGGGAGGGAAUGAUAUGGAACUUAAACCAGACCACUUUGAUAACUUACCAUGGGAAGUAGAGUUCACAGCUGAUGCUUGGAAACAUCUCAGGAGCAAGAGUGUACAAAUGAGACUUAAGCAAAGGGCUGUAAAGAUUAUCACAGAGCUAGCAAAUGGAAACUGGAGGCCAGAAUUUUACAAACCUGCCAGCACUAGUACAAGAAAUAUUUUCACAUCAGAACUGUCCAAAACCACUUCAUUAAUAUGGGAGAAAGCUGUUGCAUUUUCAGGACGUUGCAGCGAUUCUCCAAGUAAAAGAAUGCAGAAUGAGGAUGAUGGAAACUUUGCUGUUAAAGGUGGCCGUAUUUACACACAGAUCAUUAGAGUGUGGGAUAUUGUCUCCAGUGAUGAUGAUUCUCAGAGACUGUUGGAUUCAAUAAGAAAAUCAUAUAAGAGAGGGAAAAUGUCACUGUUGAAAAGAAACUUGCAAGGUUUAGAGAGAUCAAAUCAUACAGACAAACAGAAACAUCUUCCAUUACUUUUUGCAGAACAAGAUAUGAGGGUACAAGAAACAAUCACUUGCAUGUUCUUUCACCCAGCAAGUCCAGAUCCAAGGGAAUAUCAUAUCCUCAAGUUCUAUGCAUUUACAUCUGCCUUAGUCAACAUUGUGCUGUCCAAUAUGACCAAGAAAGCUGAUCUGCCUUUCAAGGUGACUGAUAAAGAGCAUGCUAUCAUCCACCUCAGUGGUGAAGCCCCCAUCCUCUUGCAGGGAAGAAGUGGGACAGGCAAGACUACGAGUUGCCUGUACAGACUGUGGACAAACUUCAUCUCCUACUGGAGGAUAGCUCAAGAGAGAGGUGCCCCCUUAAUUCCAAGGAUGGGCUGGGCCUUUGCAGCACCAGCUGAAGACGAUGAGGAUGGAAAUCCUGAAGAUGAUGAACAAGCAGAUUCUUAUGAAGCAGCUGAUGUCCAACCUUCCUUUGAGAGACAGGAGGAGGAGGAGGACCAAGACUAUGGAGAAUAUGACCAUCUUCAUCAGAUCUUUGUGACAAAGAAUCCUGUGUUGUGCACAGAGGUUCACAAGAACUUCUAUGAACUCUGCCAUGCUUGUGAUGAAACUGCGGACCAUGUAGAAGCUGAAUGCCAGGAGAUCCCUCCUAGACUACAAGAUGUUGAGGAUCUCAGUUACCCACUUUUCCUUACAUCUAAGCAACUGUUAAUGAUGCUGGAUGGCUCACUUGGUCAGCCUUAUUUCUUUGAAAGGGGUGAGGACGGUAGUCUGGGUGCAACGGUGCGAGGAUGGGAGGAACAAGGAGAUGCCUUGGGUAUCUCACUCAUGGACCAAGACUCUGAUGAAGACUUUAUGGGAAUGAACAAUGACUAUGAUGAAGAUGUUCAGCAACAAGAAGCAGCAGCUGGAUUAAGACAACGGAAACUGAAUCCAAGAAAGGAGGUCACUUAUGAGGUAUUCGCUUCUACCAUUUGGCCAAAGAUUAAGAAGAAAGCAAAGUAUCAUCCAUCUUUAGUUUGGACUGAAAUCAUGUCUUUCAUCAAAGGAUCCUUUGAAGCAUUGGCAACAUCAGAAGGACAUCUUUCAGAGAAAGACUAUAUUGAAGUAGGGAGAAAGAAAGCUCCUAAUUUUUCAGGAUUGAGGAAAACAGUUUAUCAACUGUUUGAGAGAUAUGACUUUUCCAAAAAGCAAAACUUGCUGUUUGAUAAGGCAGAUCUUGUGUCAGACAUUUUCAAACGCUUGAAAAAAAUGAAUAAAUUACCUUGGAUAGUGCACCAACUGUAUGUUGAUGAAACACAAGAUUUCACUCAGGCAGAAUUAAGUGUCCUCAUUCGAAUCACACAGCAUCCUAAUGACAUGUUCUUGACAGGGGACACAACUCAGGGGAUUAUGAGGGGCAUCUCCUGCAGGUUUAGUGACCUCAAAUCUCUCUUCUUUCAAGCCAAAAAAUCACUGGCAGCUGGUAACCAGACAAUGCUGAAUGAACCAAAGCAAGUGUACCAACUGACACACAGCUACAGAUCUCAUGGUGGGAUCCUUGCCCUUGCCUCAGCAGUCCUGGACCUGAUGGUGGAAUUCUUCCCAGAAUCCUUUGACAAACUGAAAAAGGACCAAGGUCUGCUUGAUGGACCGCUACCAUUGCUGAUGGAGUCUUGCAGCCCGCAGGAUCUCGCAAUUCUGCUUCAGGGAAACAACAGAAAAGCCUCCCACAUUGAGUUCGGAGCUCACCAGGCCAUCCUUGUGGUGAACGAUGAAGCCAAGGAGAAGAUGCCUGACAUGCUGUCCAGGCACAGCAUUGUCCUCACAAUCUAUGAGUCCAAGGGGCUGGAGUUUGAUGACAUACUGCUCUACAACUUCUUCACAGAUUCUCAGGCCACAAAAGAAUGGCGAGUUGUCACCACAUUCCUAGAGAAACUUGCUGCAUGCCGCAACUAUGAAGAACAAGCAGAAAACCUUCAUGUUAUUGAUGCAGGAAUGCUGACUCAGCCCAAUCGACCAAGAGCACUUGUAUUUGAAGCUAAUGAGCAUAAAAUUCUCAACUCUGAACUAAAGUACCUAUACACAGCCUUGACUAGAGCACGUGUGAAUGUGUGGAUCUUUGAUGAAGAUGAGGAGAAACGAGCUCCAAUGUUUGAAUACUUUAAGGCAAGGCAGCUGGUCCGGUGUAUCUCCCAGACAGAGGAUGGGAAUUCUGAGUUUACCCACAUGGUGUUUGCUAUGAAGUCAGCCCCUGAGGACUGGGUGAAGAGAGGAGAUGAGAUGAUGAGCCAGGCCCUGUAUGAGGUCGCUGCCUGCUGUUACCGUAUGGGUGGGGACGACAACAAGGAACAGCUAGCCCUUGCUCACUGUCAGGCACAGGGGGCACUCAAGCUGAAAGACACCCCUCGGAAAAUGAGGGAAGAGUUUGUGUGUGCUGCUCAUAAGUUCCUACACUGCGGAGAUGUCAUUAAAGCUGCAACAUGUCUACAGAAUGCACGUGAAUUUGAGCUGGCAGCAAAGUUGUUCCAGAAAAUGAAGAAGUUCCAAGAGGCAGCCAGGCUGUUCCAGAGGUCUGGGAAACAUGCUGAUACCAGUGAGUGCUAUGAGGAGCUCGGAUUGUACAACAGAGCAGUGGAGUUGCUAGACAAAGAGGCACUGCAUGAACUUGCCAUUGAUUGCUUGAAGAGGUACCAAACAAAAGUACAGGAGAUGAGAGGAACAGACAGGGAAAUGCUGAAGAUGCUUGAGAGUAACAAGCCAGGCGCUCAGUUUACUCUUGAGAACCUCUACUUCAAACUAGUCAAAUUCAACCAUAAACACAGGAACAAGCCCAAGAUGUUGUCAGCGUUAGACCAUCUGCCCUAUGAUGACCAGCUGGAGUUUCUGGAGAAGCACCAGUACCUCCAGGAAGCUGUUCAGCUCAUGUUGAGAGGAGGUCAAAGUUCCCAUUCUGACGUUGCUCAGAUGCUUCUGCGACAUGGUGCCACCAGAGAUGCUCUUCACCAUGCUGAAAAAGGACCUGAUGUGGAUGUCCGAGGGAAAUGCCAUCACACCUUAGCACUGGAGCUGUACUUCGAGAUGGAAGAGAAAUCUCAGCAUGAGGAGCUCCACAUAGAUUCAAGCAAAAAGGAAAUUGUUAGUCAUUUUCAAAAGGCAACCACUGCAUUUGAGGAAACAGAGAACAACAAUAGUGCAGGAAUGGCUUCUUUGGUCAUUGCUAUGGUACAGAACAGAAAAAGAGAUGCACAGAGAGCAUUUGGAUUCUUUAAGAAGGUCUCACCAUUUGCCAAUGAAGCAGGCAUGGUUGAAGCCAUGAAAAUAAUUGUUCGUUCUGUUUCAAAUGGGAAACUUUCAGACUGCCAGUGGUUAGUCACUGCUAUUGAGACAUUGCUGACUGUAAUCAGCACACUUUUGAAAGCAGAUAGUAGAGAAAAGCAUAGCAGAUGCACACUCUACUUGAAGCUCUAUGGCCUUCACCAAGAUGACAAGGAUCCAAGUCAACUAAUUGCUUAUCGUAGACAAAAGAACCUAUGUGCUGAUGUCUUGUCAGAAACCUUCAGAUGGAAGGACAAAAGAACUGUACACUUUGAUAAGCAAGACAUUUCAUUUAAGCUUUCAAUAUACCUUGUUGGUGUUCUGAAAGAAUGGAUUAAGAUCUGCAGAAACUGGCUUGACAGUCAUGUGUCCAGGAACAUACAGUGCAGGUCAUUUCAGGAAGGAAGAUGUGUAGGAAGCAGUUCUUGUGACAACAAUAAGUGUCAUCAUCUGCAUGAGCCCUUCACCAGAGAAACUGCUCUCAAAGGUUUAAAGGCACUGUUGUUGAAGGUCAAAUUAGAAGAUGUCUUACAUCGUGGAGUGAAAUCCCUCUGGGAUGUAGUUAUGAAUGUCCAAUCCCAAAAGAAGAACCUUAAUGAUGAACUCACUGCACUGACAGAUGAUACUGCAACAUCUACAGCAUUCGAAAAGUUAAUGAAGCAUUUCAUCAUUCCGGAAGGCCAUCACUUGAGAAAUUUGACAGAAAAUGAAGUAGUCAUGAGAAAAUUCAGAGACACUUUGGACAGUGUGAACUUGAAAAGUUUUAUUCAGGAAAUGGUGAAUUGCUGGUGUUGCAGCCCGUUACAAGUACAAUGCAAGAGUUCAGAUUGGUUUGUAAGAGCAACAGUUCUGGUUUCCCUAUUUAAGAUCCAACACAUUGACUUGAAAAAGAUAGGCUUUAACAUAAAAAGACAACUACAAGGUUCAGAUCCGCUUGAUGAAGAGGCAAGGAAUGCUUUUAUUUCAUUUGAAAGAGACAAUUUGAUUAUUCACCUUGGAGGUCAGUUCUAUGAAGCCUUUGGUGCAUUGAAAGAUGAUCCUAUAUCAUCUGUGUUUGCAUAUUCAAAAUUUGUCAAAAUCCUUGGAGAUCGUAACAUACCAAUGGUGUUCCCCAAAAUGCCUCUUUUCCUGUUUUGCCAUGAGGUCUUUAUAACUAUUGCACUUACAUCAUUUGCAAAACUUUCAUCUGAAACAGGGAGAUUUGUUUUACCGGCAACCUAUCUUGCAACCCUGCCAUACGUCAGUGCCAUGUUGCCGCAAGGAUCUAGUUCAAUUCAGUGGUCAAUCAAUUCCAUCAGUAGAGGCAAAGAAAGCAUCAAAACCUUUCAAGUUCACAUUCAACGUUUGGCUGGUGUCUUGUGUGGGAGUGAGAUGAGAAUGAAUCUGCUUUCAUGCUUAUUUCGCCCCAGGAGAGAUUUUGAUUACCUACAAGCAGAGCGGUGCCUCAUCCUGGCUCUGGUAGUUCUUGCUAAUGUGGGACUUUUGCUGGAUCCACCAGUUGAGGUGCCACUGAUGGAAGCUCUAAUGAGACUGGAACUCCCAGAAGAUGCUCCAACAAGACUUAAGAAUGGUCUUCAAUCCAUAAAGAAAUCUCAUGGAAUAGCUGACCUUGUGGAUGUUCUUCAGAGGAUGCUGAAAGAAAGGGAAGAUGAAAAUCUGCUUCUUUGUGAGUGGAAGUGGAAUCCACAGAGAAAAGAAGGUAUCCAGCACCAGCAGUUGAAGUCUCUUGGUAUGUUCCCAUCAGCAUUUGUAAACUUUGUACACACCUUGCCUCAUGCGCAACAUGAGAAAGAAAACAAUGCAGCUAGAGUGCUUCAGCGCUUCAUCAGGAACCUGACUCUCAGGCGACACAUAGAACUGGGGAAUCUGAAGCAGAGAUGUGAACAGCAAAUAUUGAAAGGAAUUAGUAUCAGUGCAGAAGAAACUCAAAGAGAGAAGGAUGAAUUUGAUAAGUAUGUUCGGGAAGAACAAGAAGACAGAUCAGCAAGGGUCCUUCAGCGCUUCUUCAGGAGGUUAAGCUUCACUGGGAGAAUUGAAGGAGGAAAUAUCAGAGAAAGAUGUCAACAACAAAAACUUAAGGAAAUAUUCUCAUUCUAUGACAUUACAGAGGAUCAGUGUGGAGUUUGUAGGGUGUCUUUCAAAGCAGAAGAAACUGACAAACCAUCAUUUGAAUCUGAUAUGGACCAGACGGGAACAACAGUGGAAAUGACACAAAUUGAAAGAGGCACUCAGCAUAUAGUUUUCGAGAAUUUCAUGAACCAGCAGAAGACAUCACAGAAGCUGAGGGAGGAACAUUUGUCAUCACCGAUUCACAUGAUGAAUAUGAUGAAUUUCAAUGUUUUUAAAAAGCUGUACAAAGAAUACUUUGUAUCCAAAAUGUCUCAAAUUCAGACAUUCGUGGAAAAAAUGCGAAAAGGUGAAAUAUGCAUGAAUAUGGCAGCUGUUCAUCUUGCACGCUUGGAGUUCAUAAUGCAUCAUGUGCAAGUGCUAUAUCAAGGUAUUUUUAAUGAAUUCAAGUGGGACCUGGUAUAUGAGCUGAGCCACAAGGUUAAUAGAUUAUGUAUGUACUACAAAGGUGUCUCUGAAGAUGCAGAAAUGAUGAAAAAACAAUCAUUGAUUCAAGUAGACGAACAGCCACAGCCAGCAUCAGGAGACAGCAGUUCCAUCCCAGACAUAACAAGACAACAUGUGGGAGCAGAACAUGUCAAGGACGAACUAUUGGAAGUUGCUUAUGAGGACAAUCCUAGAGUAGCACCAGCUGAUGCUGAACAAGGACAACAGAGACAGAAUAGAGAUGGUGUACACCAAGGUCAUGACAAUCCCAUAGUCCCAGAUGAUGGCAACAGAGGAGCAGGAUAUGGCCGAGGGGGAGUCUCACAACAGUAUGGAAGAGAUAGUGGUCAUGGAAAGCAUGGGAGAUAUCAUGAUGGUCAUAAUGAAAACAACCGAGGACAACAAGGACACAGGGGAGGUCGAGGAGUCUAUGAUAGAGGUGGUCGGGGGAACAGAGGGCCACAUGAAUACUAUGGAAGAGGUAAUCAUCAACAUAGGGCAGGCGGUUUCGGCAGAGGGUAUGGAGGAGGUCGUGGAAGAGGUUCUGCUGGUCAGGGUCGAGGCAGGGGACAAUAUGAGUUUCCAUAUGUUCCACCAAGACACCAAAGACUACAACAGCUCCAACAGUUCCAGGAACAACGAUACCCGACAAUACGUUAUUGAUAAGAUUCCCAGAUAUUGAGACAUUUGGCAUACAGUAAGAAGUUGAUUCUGUGAAUGAAUCGAUCGGGGCCUAGUUAUUCCUGCUGAGGACAACUGAACCCUCCUCCAGGCUGAAGUGAAUAUGCAGUUGUGAUUCUUUUUGUUCACCAGAUAUCACAGGUUUUGGGUUUUUUUAGUAUGCAAAGCAAGCUGUGGUUACAAUUUUCCUGACUUUUUUGCUGUGUAUUGAUGGCUUUUCUCUGUAGUAUAUUUGUUUUUAAAAACGAUGUAUUAUUGAGAAAUAUUGGAGAAGUAACUGUGACCAAAAAACAAAUAAUGAUCCAAAAGAACAUUUUUGAAAUUACUGGUGAAUAGUGACAAAUUCAUUUCGAUUACUAACAAAAGCAAUUUCCUGAACAUAAUUUAGAAGUGGUGCAUAAAUGAAGAUGUAAAUUUGUGUUUCAAACAAGGGCAUGCCGGGUAUGCUGAUAAGAGUCAGCUGUACAUCAGUGUUGUACCUACCUCUAUCCCAGUUUGCCAGAAUCAGAUCACAACAUACCUUUCAGAUAUUCGCAAAUGGAUGGCUGCGAACUUUUUUAGAUUGAAUGACGACAAGAUGGAGUAUAUGGUUAUUGGCACACGGGUGCAAUUAAACAAGGUGACAACAUCUCCAUACAUUAUUAGUGACUCGAACAUACACCCUACCAAAAGGUGAAGAAUCUCGGAGUCGUGUUUACUGAGACUAUGUCACCAGACCAGCAAGCUCUGAACACAUACGGGACAGCAAACAUCCCUCUGAGGAACAUCGGGAAGAUCCGACUCUACCUUGACACCGAUGCGACAAAACUACUAGUCCACUGCUACGUAACAUCAAGGCUGGACUACUGCAACUCGCUACUGUAUGGAGCCGGGAAUGUCCAACGUCUGCAGAAAGUGCAAAGUAGAUCGGCAAGAGUGAUCUCCAGGACCAAACCAAAGCACCACAUCACACCUGUCCUCAAUCAACUUCAGUGGCUACCUGUCGAACAAAGGAUAAAGUUUAAGACACUGGUUCUGACAUAUGGAACCGUGAAUGAUCCAGAUUCCCCCGUAUAUCUAAAAGACCUGAUUAGCCCUUACACACCUGCACGGAGUCUACGGUCGGAGAACAAAGGCAAACUCAUCGUCCCAAAAACCAGGAAAAACAAGCCAGCCACGCAUUUUCUGUCUCUGUCCCAUUGCUCUGGAACUCUGUUCCACUGAAAAUACGAUGUGCAGAAGCAAUUGACUUUUUCGGCAAACAACUAAAAACCUAUCUCUACUCUGGAAUCCUAUUCUAGUUAGGCUUUGUGAUGCGCCAUUGAACAGCUUUAAGUUGGAUACCAGGCGCCAUAGAAAUCCAUUAUUAUUAUUAUUAUUAUUGAGAAAAGAAGAGUUCAUGUAUAGAUCGAGUAAGGAUUUUCAUUUCAUUUUGUUGUUACCUUGAUGCAUAGUCUGUAGUCGUUUAAUCCUUGUUUGUUUGUAAUUAUAUUUUUCCUUAUCCU